RNAcentral lists this transfer RNA (73 nucleotides) under Camelus bactrianus (Bactrian camel). It matches the Rfam family "tRNA". Rfam says of the family: Transfer RNA (tRNA) molecules are approximately 80 nucleotides in length. Their secondary structure includes four short double-helical elements and three loops (D, anti-codon, and T loops). Further hydrogen bonds mediate the characteristic L-shaped molecular structure. tRNAs have two regions of fundamental functional importance: the anti-codon, which is responsible for specific mRNA codon recognition, and the 3' end, to which the tRNAs corresponding amino acid is attached (by aminoacyl-tRNA synthetases). tRNAs cope with the degeneracy of the genetic code in two manners: having more than one tRNA (with a specific anti-codon) for a particular amino acid; and 'wobble' base-pairing, i.e. permitting non-standard base-pairing at the 3rd anti-codon position. Lineage: Eukaryota; Metazoa; Chordata; Mammalia; Artiodactyla; Camelidae. RNAcentral also lists the same sequence under 3 other names. The record is from Rfam by way of RNAcentral.
GAGGGUAUAGCUCAGUGGUAGAGUGCAUACCUAGCAUGCAUUGAGGCCCUGGGUUCAAUCCCCAGUACCUCCA